Molecule: long non-coding RNA, 447 nt
Filed under: Rattus norvegicus (Norway rat)
Lineage: Eukaryota; Metazoa; Chordata; Mammalia; Rodentia; Muridae
Description: long non-coding RNA NONRATT018233
Source: RNAcentral
CCUGCUGCAGCCCGUCCUGUCUCCAUGGCGACUCGGCGUCCCAGGCUCGCGGCUCGGAACCCAGCUCAAGUGCGGAGCGGGGCUGGCCUUCCUGGUCUGGCCUUCGCGGAAACUCCUUGGCUGGGCGGCCAGAGGGUUGGGCCUCUGGAACCCCUCGGCUGUCGAAGCACCCGCAGAGAAGUCUUGUCCCUGAGUUUUGUAUUCCUGAAAUUCCCAGGUAUGUGGUAAUAACCAUUUUAUAAGUCUGGUUUGAGGCCUGGGCAUGAUGGUACACAUCUGUAAUCCCAGCCCUUGGGAGGCAGGUGAAUCUUUGUGAGUUCAAAUCCAGUUUGCUCUGUGUAGUGAGUUCUAGGUCAGACAGAGCUACAAAGUAAGACCCUAUCUCAGAAACAAUCCUCUCUGCCCUGGGCCGUGGAGCCAAGUGGAGGGACAAGUGAAUUGUUGUUU